GACGAACGCUGGCGGCGUGCUUAACACAUGCAAGUCGAACGGAAAGGCCCUGCUUUUGUGGGGUGCUCGAGUGGCGAACGGGCGAGUAACACGUGAGUAACCUGCCCUUGACUUUGUGAUAACUUCAGGAAACUGGGGCUAAUACCGGAUAGGAGCUCCUGCUGCAUGGUGGGGGUUGGAAAGUUUCGGCGGUUGGGGAUGGACUCGCGGCUUAUCAGCUUGUUGGUGGGGUAGUGGCUUACCAAGGCUUUGACGGGUAGCCGGCCUGAGAGGGUGACCGGCCACAUUGGGACUGAGAUACGGCCCAGACUCCUACGGGAGGCAGCAGUGGGGAAUAUUGCACAAUGGGCGGAAGCCUGAUGCAGCAACGCCGCGUGCGGGAUGACGGCCUUCGGGUUGUAAACCGCUUUCGCCUGUGACGAAGCGUGAGUGACGGUAAUGGGUAAAGAAGCACCGGCUAACUACGUG
This 468-nucleotide ribosomal RNA is filed under the name uncultured bacterium. RNAcentral describes it as "partial 16S ribosomal RNA". It matches the Rfam family "Bacterial small subunit ribosomal RNA", at positions 28 to 507 of the family's 1533-position model. The record is from RNAcentral.